Molecule: transfer RNA, 77 nt
Filed under: Actinomycetota bacterium
Lineage: Bacteria; Bacillati; Actinomycetota
Description: Actinobacteria bacterium (sediment metagenome) tRNA-Met
Source: RNAcentral
AGUCCGGGUGGAGCAGUUUGGUCGCCCGUCGGGUCCAUGAUCCGAAGGGCGCAGGUUCGAGUCCCGCCCCACGACCA